GAUGAACGCUGGCGGCGUGCUUAACACAUGCAAGUCGAACGAAGACAUCUGAGUGCUUGCACUUGGAUGGACUGAGUGGCGGACGGGUGAGUAACGCGUGGGUAACCUGCCUUGUACAGGGGGAUAACAGUUGGAAACGGCUGCUAAUACCGCAUAAGCGCACAGUACCGCAUGGUACAGUGUGAAAAACUCCGGUGGUGUGAGAUGGACCCGCGUCUGAUUAGCUAGUUGGUAAGGUAACGGCUUACCAAGGCGACGAUCAGUAGCCGGCCUGAGAGGGUGAACGGCCACAUUGGGACUGAGACACGGCCCAAAACUCCUACGGGAGGCAGCAGUGGGAAUNUGCACAAUGGGGGAAACCCUGAUGCAGCGACGCCGCGUGAGUGAUGAAGUAUUCGGUAUGUAAAACUCUAUCAGCAGGGAAGAUAAUGACGGUACCUGACUAAGAGCACGGCUAAAUACGUGC
This 466-nucleotide ribosomal RNA is filed under the name uncultured bacterium. RNAcentral describes it as "bacterial SSU rRNA". It matches the Rfam family "Bacterial small subunit ribosomal RNA", at positions 28 to 508 of the family's 1533-position model. The record is from RNAcentral.